CCUACGGGUGGCAGCAGUGGGGGAUAUUGCACAAUGGGGGGAACCCUGAUGCAGCGACGCCGCGUGGGGGAAGGAGGGUUUCGGCGUGUAAAGCCCUAUCGGCAGGGAAGAAGAUGACGGUACCUGGCCAAUAAGCCCCGGCUAACUACGUGCCAGCAGCCGCGGUAAUACGUAGGGGGCAAGCGUUAUCCGGAGUUACUGGGUGUAAAGGGGGCGCAGGCGGGAAUGCAAGCCAGGAGUGAAAGCCCGGGGCCAAACCCCGGGACUGCUCUUGAAACUGCAUGGCUGGAGUACAGGAGGGGCAGGCGGAAUUCCUAGUGUAGCGGUGAAAUGCGUAGAUAUUAGGAGGAACACCGGUGGCGAAGGCGGCCUGCUGGACUGUGACUGACGUUGAGGCCCGAAAGCGUGGGGAGCAAACAGGAUUAGAUACCCUGGUAGUC
RNAcentral lists this ribosomal RNA (440 nucleotides) under uncultured bacterium. RNAcentral describes it as "partial 16S ribosomal RNA". It matches the Rfam family "Bacterial small subunit ribosomal RNA", at positions 338 to 795 of the family's 1533-position model. The record is from RNAcentral.